AGGAGACUUCAUGCUUGUUUUCGCGCUGGUCAAGACAUUCGAUUCUUUGUUCUCUGCCGAUGAAGGUUUCUGUAGCUUGAAGCAGGCUUCCUUCUCAGUUAAUGGCGUUAAUGAUGGGUGGAGAUUCAGGGAUAUCUGAUUGAAUGAGAUUUAGAAUGCAGAUUUGUGAUAUGGUUGCAGAACAUCUGUGGAGAAGAAUUACAAAGAAUUCAUAUACAGAAGGUGAGGAAAGAUCUCUUGGUGUAUACUUUCUUUUAGUUAUCUUACCUUCUAUCGGUUGGUUGCAGAACUUGGAAGCAAGGUACGGUAGUCAAAUUGGUUAGAGGAAUUCAUUUGCACUUUCAUAUAAUUAAAUGACUCUAACUUGUCAAAUUGUCUCCGUAAUUGUUUGCUCUUGUUGAUUGCGGUCUCUUGUCAUACUAGUAUCAAUGUCAUACACAGCAACCUCAGAUUACAGAACUAGAUAUACCAUUUUGACACUUCAGAUUAGUGUGUUAUUUAUUUUACUAUAUAUCAGCUAGCUGUGUACUCGAUCUUAUUUGGGAUUGACUAUUAUUGGGUAGGCAGGUGAGCUCAUGAAAUUUGAGUACCAAAAGAAGGUCGCCUUGCUGAGCAAGCUAAAGAAAUGUAGUACUAACUCAGAAGCAUUGGAGAAAUCAAGAGUAGCAGUGAGUCAUCUGCAUAUAAGAUACAUAGUUGACAUGCAAUCCAUGGACCCAACAGUAUCAAAGAUAAACUCUUUACUUUCAGCUUGUUACAGGGUGAGUUUGCAGUGUACUCAUAUUUGACAUUCU
Rosa rugosa (rugosa rose) is the source of this 794-nucleotide long non-coding RNA. RefSeq lists it as uncharacterized. The transcript has 3 exons. The record is from RefSeq and is a predicted model, not a curated record. NCBI's taxonomy places the organism in Eukaryota, Viridiplantae, Streptophyta, Magnoliopsida, Rosales, Rosaceae.